This 292-nucleotide ribosomal RNA is filed under the name uncultured bacterium. Its description in RNAcentral is "partial 16S ribosomal RNA". It matches the Rfam family "Bacterial small subunit ribosomal RNA", at positions 505 to 796 of the family's 1533-position model. The record is from RNAcentral.
GUGACAGCCGCCGCGGUAAUACGUAGGUGGCAAGCGUUGUCCGGAUUUACUGGGCGUAAAGAGCGCGCAGGCGGCUGGUCAAGUCCGAUGUGAAAGCUCCCGGCUUAACUGGGAAAAUGCAUUGGAAACUGAUCAGCUUGAAGAUGGGAGAGGGUAGUGGAAUUCCCGGUGUAGUGGUGAAAUGCGUAGAUAUCGGGAGGAACACCAGUGGCGAAGGCGACUACCUGGCCCAUUCUUGACGCUGAGGCGCGAAAGCUAGGGGAGCGAACGGGAUUAGAUACCCCUGUAGUCC